GAUGAACGCUGGCGGCCUGCCUAAUACAUGCAAGUCGAGCGAACGGACGAGAAGCUUGCUUCUCUGAUGUUAGCGGCGGACGGGUGAGUAACACGUGGAUAACCUACCUAUAAGACUGGGAUAACUUCGGGAAACCGGAGCUAAUACCGGAUGAUAUUUUGAACCGCAUGGUUCAAAAGUGAAAGACGGUCUUGCUGUCACUUAUAGAUGGAUCCGCGCUGCAUUAGCUAGUUGGUAAGGUAACGGCUUACCAAGGCAACGAUGCAUAGCCGACCUGAGAGGGUGAUCGGCCACACUGGAACUGAGACACGGUCCAGACUCCUACGGGAGGCAGCAGUAGGGAAUCUUCCGCAAUGGGCGAAAGCCUGACGGAGCAACGCCGCGUGAGUGAUGAAGGUCUUCGGAUCGUAAAACUCUGUUAUUAGGGAAGAACAUAUGUGUAAGUAACUGUGCACAUCUUGACGGUACCUAAUCAGAAAGCCACGGCUAACUACGUG
This 497-nucleotide ribosomal RNA is filed under the name uncultured bacterium. Its description in RNAcentral is "partial 16S ribosomal RNA". It matches the Rfam family "Bacterial small subunit ribosomal RNA", at positions 28 to 507 of the family's 1533-position model. The record is from RNAcentral.